This is a long non-coding RNA of Cryptotermes secundus, 604 nucleotides long. RefSeq lists it as uncharacterized. NCBI's taxonomy places the organism in Eukaryota, Metazoa, Arthropoda, Insecta, Blattodea, Kalotermitidae. The record is from RefSeq and is a predicted model, not a curated record. The transcript has 5 exons.
GCAAGCGGUUGAUCCCUUGUAUAAUUACUGUUGCUUGCGUGAACGUCUUUUUGUGGAACGAAGAGAGCCACUUUUCUAACAGUUUUGAAGAUUUCAGAAGCCUGAGAGAAAAGAAAGUUGAUCUUUAUCAUUUAUUUCUGGGAAGUGAUGGGCUAUUUCUUUGUACUACAAUCCACAUCUUGGAGUCUGAGAGAACCUGUUGCGAAGUUGCUGCUUGUGGUGGCCCCGUGUCACCCAUAUCCAAAAGACACAAGUGGUCCUAGUGACGGUGGAAAUGAUACCGCCACACCAUUCCAGGAUUUAUGAGUACACGGUUAUGCAUCAGCACAUGAAUUUUUUAUGUGCUCCACCCCUUCACCCUGUUUGAUCAGAGCAAAAUGGCCGCUGCAGGCUUUUCUUAGCUUGCAGAAUAGUAGAGCAUCCAGGAGCUGUGGAAGAUGUGAUAAAGAGAGGACACAGGUGCCUCCACCCAGACCAGUGUUGGCUCAACACAGCGUCAGAGAUAUACCUGGCGCAACGACAGGAGCUGGUCUUCCGUGAGAAUGUCUUACUUUGACAUGUCAGAUGACCAUCCGUGCGCAGACAUCGGGCACUACUUCCAAUU